AGCUCCAAUAGCGUAUAUUAAAGUUGUUGCAGUUAAAAAGCUCGUAGUUGAAAUUCUGACCGUAUUGGGCCCACGCACUCGAUGCGAAGGUACCAGCGGUCAUCCGCUUGCAAAAACAGGACCUUCCUUAACCGGUAGGCUGUCUGAGCAGGCAUUUUACCUUGAGAAAAACAGAGUGUUCCAGGCAGGUUUGUCCGGAAUGCAUUAGCAUGGAAUAAUAGAAUAUGACUGAAGUCGAUUUAUUGGUUUAAGGCUUUAGUAAUGAUUAAUAGGAACAGUCGGGGGCAUUAGUACUUAUCAGCUAGAGGUGAAAUUCAAGGAUUUGAUAAAGACUAACUGAUGCGAAAGCGUUUGCCAAGGAUGUUUUCA
Molecule: ribosomal RNA, 369 nt
Filed under: fish environmental sample
Lineage: Eukaryota; Metazoa; Chordata
Description: SSU rRNA
Rfam family: Eukaryotic small subunit ribosomal RNA
Source: RNAcentral